GGGGGUACACGAGUGGCGCACGGGUGAGUAACGCGUAUGCAACCUGCCCUGUACAGGGGGAUAGCCCGGAGAAAUCCGGAUUAAUACCCCAUAGUUUUUAUGAGUCGCAUGGCUUAUAAAAUAAAGUUUCGGCGGUACAGGAUGGGCAUGCGUGGCAUUAGCUAGUUGGUAAGGUAACGGCUUACCAAGGCGACGAUGCCUAGGGGUUCUGAGAGGAUGAUCCCCCACACUGGGACUGAGACACGGCCCAGACUCCUACGGGAGGCAGCAGUGAGGAAUAUUGGUCAAUGGGCGAGAGCCUGAACCAGCCAUCCCGCGUGCAGGAUGACGGCCCUACGGGUUGUAAACUGCUUUUAUGUACCAAGAAUGUGUUCUACGUGUAGGAUUUUGACGGUAGUACAUGAAUAAGCAUCGGCUAACUCCGUGCCAGCAGCCGCGGUAAUACGGAGGAUGCAAGCGUUAUCCGGAUUCAUUGGGUUUAAAGGGUGCGUAGGCGGCUAUAUAAGUCAGUGGUGAAAUGCUGCAGCUCAACUGUAGAACUGCCAUUGAAACUGUAUAGCUUGAGUGCGCCUGAGGUAGGCGGAAUGAGUAGUGUAGCGGUGAAAUGCUUAGAUAUUACUCAGAACACCGAUUGCGAAGGCAGCUUACUAAAGCGUAACUGACGCUGAUGCACGAAAGCGUGGGGAGCGAACAGGAUUAGAUACCCUGGUAGUCCACGCCGUAAACGAUGAUAACUCGCUGUUGGCGAUACACAGUCAGCGGCUUAGCGAAAGCAUUAAGUUAUCCACCUGGGGAGUACGAUCGCAAGGUUGAAACUCAAAGGAAUUGACGGGGGCCCGCACAAGCGGAGGAA
RNAcentral lists this ribosomal RNA (853 nucleotides) under Prolixibacter bellariivorans. RNAcentral describes it as "bacterial SSU rRNA". It matches the Rfam family "Bacterial small subunit ribosomal RNA", at positions 83 to 937 of the family's 1533-position model. Lineage: Bacteria; Pseudomonadati; Bacteroidota; Bacteroidia; Marinilabiliales; Prolixibacteraceae. The record is from RNAcentral.